AGUCUUAUAGUCAAAAAAUGAUAUUAAAUUGCAAGUUUAAAGUUAAUAAAAUAUUUAAGGCUU
Molecule: transfer RNA, 63 nt
Filed under: Scarabaeidae sp. BMNH 1274752
Lineage: Eukaryota; Metazoa; Arthropoda; Insecta; Coleoptera; Scarabaeidae
Description: tRNA-Cys
Source: RNAcentral